AUACGUAGGGGGCGAGCGUUGUCCGGAAUGACUGGGCGUAAAGGGCGUGUAGGCGGUUGUCUAAGUCUGGAGUGAAAGUCCUGCUUUCAAGGUGGGAAUAGCUUUGGAUACUGGAUGACUUGAGUGCGGAAGAGGUAAGUGGAAUUCCCAGUGUAGCGGUGAAAUGCGUAGAGAUUGGGAGGGACACCAGUGGCGAAGGCGACUUACUGGGCCGUAACUGACGCUGAGGCGCGAAAGCGUGGGGAGCGAACAGGAUUAGAUACCCUGGUAGUCCACGCGGUAAACGAUGAAUUCUAGGUGUUGCGGGUAUCGACCCCUGCAGUGCCGGAGUAAACACAAUAAGCAUUCCGCCUGGGGAGUACGGCCGCAAGGUUGAAACUCAAAUGAAUUGACGGGG
RNAcentral lists this ribosomal RNA (397 nucleotides) under uncultured bacterium. Its description in RNAcentral is "partial 16S ribosomal RNA". It matches the Rfam family "Bacterial small subunit ribosomal RNA", at positions 523 to 918 of the family's 1533-position model. The record is from RNAcentral.